CCUACGGGAGGCAGCAGUAGGGAAUCUUCCACAAUGGGCGCAAGCCUGAUGGAGCAACACCGCGUGAGUGAUGAAGGGCUUCGGAUCGUAAAGCUCUGUUGUUGGAGAAGAACGUGCGUGAGAGUAACUGUUCACGCAGUGACGGUAUCCAACCAGAAAGCCACGGCUAACUACGUGCCAGCAGCCGCGGUAAUACGUAGGUGGCAAGCGUUAUCCGGAAUUAUUGGGCGUAAAGCGAGCGUAGGCGGUUUGUUAGGUCUGAUGUGAAAGCCUUCGGCUUAACCGAAGAAGUGCAUCGGAAACCGGACAACUUGAGUGCAGAAGAGGACAGUGGAACUCCAUGUGUAGCGGUGGAAUGCGUAGAUAUAUGGAAGAACACCAGUGGCGAAGGCGGCUGUCUGGUCUGCAACUGACGCUGAGGCUCGAAAGCAUGGGUAGCGAACAGGAUUAGAUACCCGAGUAGUC
RNAcentral lists this ribosomal RNA (465 nucleotides) under uncultured bacterium. Its description in RNAcentral is "partial 16S ribosomal RNA". It matches the Rfam family "Bacterial small subunit ribosomal RNA", at positions 338 to 795 of the family's 1533-position model. The record is from RNAcentral.